This 270-nucleotide ribosomal RNA is filed under the name uncultured prokaryote. RNAcentral's name for it is "partial 16S ribosomal RNA". It matches the Rfam family "Bacterial small subunit ribosomal RNA", at positions 524 to 794 of the family's 1533-position model. The record is from RNAcentral.
CACGUAGGGGCGAGCGUUGUCCGGAAUUACUGGGCGUAAAGGGCGCGCAGGCUGUUAUGCGAGUCUGCUGUGAAAUGUACCGGCUCAACCGGUGCCUUGCGGCGGAUACUGCAUAGCUGGAGUACUGGAGAGGGAAGUGGAAUUCCCGGUGUAGCGGUGAAAUGCGUAGAUAUCGGGAGGAAUACCGGUGGCGAAGGCGGCUUUCUGGCCAGUUACUGACGCUCAUGCGGGAAAGCUGGGGUAGCGAACCGGAUUAGAUACCCGGGUAGU